Molecule: ribosomal RNA, 445 nt
Filed under: uncultured bacterium
Lineage: Bacteria
Description: partial 16S ribosomal RNA
Rfam family: Bacterial small subunit ribosomal RNA
Source: RNAcentral
AACGAACGCUGGCGGCAGGCUUAACACAUGCAAGUCGAACGAGCUGGGGGCUUCGGUCCCCGAUGCUAGUGGCGCACGGGUGAGUAACACGUGGGAAUAUGCCCUUUAGUACGGAAUAACCAAGGGAAACUUUGGCUAAUACCGUAUACGCCCUUCGGGGGAAAGAUUUAUCGCUAAAGGAUUAGCCCGCGUCUGAUUAGGUAGUUGGUGAGGUAAUGGCUCACCAAGCCGACGAUCAGUAGCUGGUCUGAGAGGAUGAUCAGCCACACUGGGACUGAGACACGCCCGAGCCCCCUCGGGGAGGCAGAGGGGGGGAAUAUGGGAAAAGGGGGCCACCCCUGCCCCCCCCAGGCGGGGGGAGGAAAGAAGCCUUUCGGUUUAAAAGCCCCUUCCGAGGGGGACGAUGAUGAGGUUCCCCGAAUAAGAGCCCCCGGAAACCUUCGUC